AAGGUGGAAUCAAUAACUGGGGUGAAGUCGUAACAAGGUAGCCGUAUCGGAAGGUGCGGCUGGAUCACCUCCUUU
This 75-nucleotide ribosomal RNA is filed under the name Clostridioides difficile. RNAcentral's name for it is "partial 16S ribosomal RNA". It matches the Rfam family "Bacterial small subunit ribosomal RNA", at positions 1459 to 1533 of the family's 1533-position model. The record is from RNAcentral. Lineage: Bacteria; Bacillati; Bacillota; Clostridia; Peptostreptococcales; Peptostreptococcaceae.